RNAcentral lists this ribosomal RNA (422 nucleotides) under uncultured prokaryote. RNAcentral's name for it is "partial 16S ribosomal RNA". The record is from RNAcentral.
CCCUACGGGGUGCAGCAGGCAUUUGCUCUCUAUCAGUCGUUUUAUCGUUAUGGAUCAUUUUCUGCGACACUUCCUCACUUUCAAAAUGCCCCCAAACUCUACGAAAAAAUGAUAGCGUCUGCAUCUUUUUCCCUCUACCCAUUACAAAUACCUGCGAGCAGUGAAAGUACGAUUCGAUAUCUUCUCGAGACAGACGACCACGAUCUGAUUGAGUCUGUCUUGAUCAGUAUGAAAACAAGAAAUACGGUGUGCGUUUCAUCACAAAUCGGGUGCCGCACGGGCUGUCGUUUUUGUGCGACAGGAAGAAUGGGUUUUUGUCGGAAUCUUUUUGCUCAUGAGAUUGUGCAACAAUUUUUCACCGCGCGUUUUGUGAUCGGGAAAAAAGUACAAAACGUUGUCUUUAUGGGAAUUGGCGGGAGAGC